GACGGAGGGUGCAAGCGUUGUUCGGAAUUACUGGGCGUAAAGCGCGCGCAGGCGGUUUUUUAAGUCCAUUGUGAAAUCCCGGAGCUCAACUCCGGAUAUGCAGUGGAUACUGGAAGACUAGAGACCGGUAGAGGCUAGCGGAAUUCCUGGUGUAGCGGUGGAAUGCGUAGAUAUCAGGAGGAACAUCAGUGGCGAAGGCGGCUAGCUGGGCCGGGUCUGACGCUCAUGUGCGAAAGCGUGGGGAGCAAACAGG
Molecule: ribosomal RNA, 253 nt
Filed under: uncultured bacterium
Lineage: Bacteria
Description: partial 16S ribosomal RNA
Rfam family: Bacterial small subunit ribosomal RNA
Source: RNAcentral